UUGGGCAUGGGGGAAACCCUGACCCAGCAAUGCCGCGUGAGUGAAGAAGGCCUUCGGGUUGUAAAGCUCUGUCCUUGGGGAAGAAGAUGACGGUACCCAAGAAGAAAGCCACGGCUAACUACGUGCCAGCAGCCGCGGUAAUACGUAGGUGGCGAGCGUUGUCCGGAAUUACUGGGCGUAAAGGGCGAGUAGGCGGAUAUACAAGUCAGAUGUGAAAGGUUAGGGCUCAACCUUAACAUUGCAUUUGAAACUGUAUAUCUUGAGUGCAGGAGAGGAAAGUGGAAUUCCCAGUGUAGCGGUGAAAUGCGUAGAUAUUGGGAGGAACACCAGUGGCGAAGGCGACUUUCUGGCCUGUAACUGACGCUGAGGCGCGAAAGCGUGGGGAGCAAACAGGAUUAGAUACCCUGGUAGUCCACGCCGUAAACGAUGGAUGCUAGGUGUGGGAGGUAUCGACCCCUUCCGUGCCGUAGUUAACGCAAUAAGCAUCCCGCCUGGGGAGUACGGCCGCAAGGCUGAAACUCAAAGGAAUUGACGGGGGCCCGCACAAGCAGCGGAGCGUGUGGUUUAAUUCGAAGCAACGCGAAGAACCUUACCAAGGCUUGACAUCCCUUGCAAUCUGUAGAGAUACAGAGUUCCCUUCGGGGACGAGGAGACAGGUGGUGCACGGUUGUCGUCAGCUCGUGUCGUGAGAUGUUGGGUUAAGUCCCGCAACGAGCGCAACCCUUGUCCUUAGUUGCCAUCAUUAAGUUGGGCACUCUAGGGAGACUGCCGGUGACAAACCGGAGGAAGGUGGGGAUGACGUCAAAUCAUCAUGCCCCUUAUGUCUUGGGCUACACACGCGCUACAAUGGCCUGUACAAAGGGCGGCAAAGCCGCGAGGUGGAGCAAAUCCCAUAAAACAGGUCCCAGUUCAGAUUGCAGGCUGCAACUCGCCUGCAUGAAGUCGGAGUUGCUAGUAAUCGUGGAUCAGCACGCCACGGGAAGCUUCCCGC
Molecule: ribosomal RNA, 991 nt
Filed under: uncultured Bacillota bacterium
Lineage: Bacteria; Bacillati; Bacillota
Description: bacterial SSU rRNA
Rfam family: Bacterial small subunit ribosomal RNA
Source: RNAcentral